This 402-nucleotide ribosomal RNA is filed under the name uncultured prokaryote. Its description in RNAcentral is "bacterial SSU rRNA". It matches the Rfam family "Bacterial small subunit ribosomal RNA", at positions 355 to 774 of the family's 1533-position model. The record is from RNAcentral.
UGGGGAAUAUUGGGCAAUGGGCGAAAGCCUGACCCAGCAACGCCGCGUGAAGGAAGAAGGUUUUCGGAUCGUAAACUUCUAUCCUUGGUGAAGAUAAUGACGGUAGCCAAGAAGGAAGCCCCGGCUAACUACGUGCCAGCAGCCGCGGUAAUACGUAGGGGGCAAGCGUUGUCCGGAAUGAUUGGGCGUACAGGGCGCGUAGGCGGCCUGGUAAGUCUGGAGUGAAAGUGCUGCUUUUAAGGUGGGAAUUGCUUUGGAUACUGUCGGGCUUGAGUGCAGGAGAGGUAAGUGGAAGUCCCGGUGUAGCGGUGAAAUGCGUAGAGAUCGGGAGGAACACCAGUGGCGAAGGCGACUUACUGGACUGUAACUGACGCUGAGGCGCGAAAGUGUGGGGAGCAAACA